Molecule: ribosomal RNA, 254 nt
Filed under: uncultured bacterium
Lineage: Bacteria
Description: partial 16S ribosomal RNA
Rfam family: Bacterial small subunit ribosomal RNA
Source: RNAcentral
UACAGAGGUCUCAAGCGUUGUUCGGAUUCAUUGGGCGUAAAGGGGUGCGUAGGUGGCGCGCUAAGUCAGGUGUGAAAUUUCGGAGCUUAACUCCGAAACUGCAUUUGAUACUGGCGUGCUUGAGGACUGGAGAGGAGACUGGAAUUCACGGUGUAGCAGUGAAAUGCGUAGAUAUCGUGAGGAAGACCAGUGGCGAAGGCGGGUCUCUGGACAGUUCCUGACACUGAGGCACGAAGGCCAGGGGAGCAAACGGG